AAAUACAACAAACAGUCAUCGUUGUUUCAAUCCUUUCUAAUAAUCUUGUUUCUCAAUCUUUCUGUCUUCUCAAUCUUUCUGUCUUCUCAAUUUUUCUGUGUUCUAUUCUAAACAAACGACAAUAACAACAACUUUGUUUCGACCUCUCAUUUCUCUCUAAUAUUUUUUUUCUCAAUUUUUCUGUGUUCUAUUCUAAACAAACGACAAUAACAACAACUUUGUUUCGACCUCUCAUUUCUCUCUAAUAUUCUUUUUCUCAAUUUUUCUGUGUUCUAUUCUAAACAAACGACAAUAAUAACAACAACAACUGUGUUCUCUUCUGAUGGAGUCACCACAUUCAUCACCAUGUUCUCGGAUUUCAUUUACGUCAACCCCAGCGGCACCAAAACCUAAUAAGAAACGAAAGAUAGAGUUUUUACAUGAUCACACUAUCGUCACCUCAUCAUACUUCCUCGCCACUGCAGAAAAGACGCUUACGGUUAAUGGAUGAAAUUAUAUAGCUUGGUGAGAUGCGAUUAGAACUGUUUCGUCUCAUCAACAACACUCAAGAAGCCAUGUAUGCUGAAAGAAAGAGGAAAAUCGCAUUCUUGAUGUCAUUUAGAUAGUAACUAACAACUUUUUAUUCAUUUCAAUUGAUUCUGUUAGGUUCUAGGUUGCUCAAUGUGGUUUGCUGAUUUUUUAUUUGUGGCAAGAAAUUGGGCUAAAGAUGAACAAACACGGAAGUGCUUAAGAGGUCAGCGGAAGACUUCUGCUUUUGCUUCUCCCAGAGUGACAGGGAAUUCUGGUGGAUCAGCCGAUGGGUUUUAAGAGUGAAAAAAACCAGAGAGUUUUAAGAGUGGAAAAAAAUGCAGAAUGAAUCACUCUAAGGAUUGCAGGGCUGUUAGUUCAUGUUUCGGAAAUUGGAGGUUUGCAAAGAUUUGUGGGCUAACUAUGAAAGAAUACUCAUGGAGUGCUGACUGGAUUUGUACAGAAGAGUCUGUACUGAAUCCAAGAGGAGGGUAAUGGUGUUUCACUGAUGAAGGAGGAUUGAUGUGCAAUGAUGCUUCACUGUUGAAGUGUGUAAUGAUUGAUGACUGCUUAAAGAAGACUUGUCAAUUAUAUGAUUCAAUGAAGAAUGAAGGUUUUGAAGUCGUUUGUAUGAAUGAAGAGUGAUAAGGAAACUGAGAAAAAAAAACCAGAGAGUUUUAAGAGUGAAAAAAAAUGCAGAAUGAAUCACUCUAAGGAUUGCAGGGCUGUUAGUGCAUGUUUCGGAAAUUGGAGGUUUGCAAAUAUUUGUGGCUAACUAUGAAAGAAUACUCAUGGAGUGCUGACUGGAUUUGUACAGAAGAGUUUUAGGUUUUGAGUGUAGAAGCAAUGUGUAUCUGCUUUUUCAUGCAUGUUGAUGUAUGGGAGCUUUUACUUGCUACAGGUGAAUUAGAGUUUUAGGGCCUAAGUAAGUUGUCACUUUACAAUCCCUGAGAGUGAGAAGGCUCUACACGAGUUUUACGGAUAUGCCUUGCAUCUUAUUGUAUUAUGUAUAGACACUAGGUUUUAUUCACCAUCUCAUCGAUGUACCCGGUUCUAUAGAGUAGCUUAGUUUUGCAGUAGUACAUUAGUUGCACUUAUAUUAACUGCACUGACCAAUAUGGGUUUUUUUGUCAUCAGGUCUAUUGCACAAUCCAAUUGGAAUUGGUUCUGGUUGUUAGUUUUACUUGAUUGUCAGAGUCUUUGCAGGCAGGUAGCACAACCUUGGUAUGCUCACAUCAUGAAUAUAUCAAAAUCAGUCUUAAAGUCAUUACAGGUACCGCAUCUUUGGUGUGUCAUGCUAUGCUCAUGAGUAUGAUGAAACAGAAAGGAAAUGCAACAUCUUAAAAACAUGGUAGGAAGUUUACCUUUGAUUUGAGCUGCUGGCCAUGCUUAAUAGUCCGGUCUUCAACCGUGCUGAGUGAAUGAGAUUCAUUGACAUGGGGGGCCUUCUGAAACAUUGGAAAUGGGCAGAGGCUGAAAACUUUGAGUGUCAGACUGUGUUUGAAGUGGGGAGUCAUGCCUCAAAUAUAAAUUCUGGUGUCCUUAAUGAAAGUUGAAGCAAAACAUUGGAAAUUUGAGUUGUUCUUCAUAAUGCCUAUUAAGCUCACGAGAUCUUGCGAAAGAAAUGGGAGAAGGAAGGUAUGUACGCUCUUGUCAUGAAUAGAUCAAAAUGAGUCUUGUUGUCAUUUAAGGGAGAGCAGCAAUUGAGGUUACAAAUGAAGGUGUUGAUGCUGCAGGACAUACAAUUGGUACAUCUUUGGAGGUCAUUUCCAACUUAGGAAGGUUCUCAACCCCGAGAGUAUCACACCUUUAGCUAAUGAUGCUGGUUUCUUUUGCUGUGAUCAUGUCAGACUUGAGGCCCUUAGAGGGAUUUGUCAUCGUCUCAGUUUUAUUCGAUACAACAUCUUGCCCUCAUACACCUUCACAAAAUGGGGUAGCCAGACGUAAAAAUAUGCAUCUUGUAGUAACCGCUUGGACCUUACUUCUCUAUGGUAAUGUUCCAUUCUGGUUAUGGGGGAUAUUAUGCUAAUAUGGCAUGUUACCCUAUAAACCUCAUGCCCUCGUCUGUCCUUAACAACAAUAUCCCUCAUUUAAUUUUGUUGUUUCCUUAUUCCCCCUUCACCCAAUUCCUCCUCGUGUCUUCGAGUCUACAAUAUUUGUUAAAGUAAAUGCUCGUGACGGUGACGGUACGGUGAUCGCCCAUGGUUCUCUUUCUCUCUCUUCCAGGUUACUCCUACCCUAUCUCAUAUCGAAACAUUGGGGACAAUGUUCGGUUUAAGCGCGAGAGGAGAUUUUUAUCGUUUUUUAUUGUUUUUCUUUAUUUUUAGUAUGUUUUGUGCGUUUUUAGUUGUUUGCUUUUCCUUUCAAUAAAAUAACAUGUGUUUGACGAGUCAUCUGUGUAGUGUAUCCGUAUUUCUUCCAUUUCUUUAAUCUUACCAAAAAAAAUUUGUGAGCAAAGAAAACAGUGCAUCUUGAAUAUUCAGGCUAUAAGACAGGUUUAUGACGAGAUUUAAAAGAUUUAGGAAAACCUUUUUUAAAAACAUGUAUUGUCUUAACACCGUAGGGUUCAUGAUUAUAAGAGUCUAUCCCGAUACCCCAUAUGCUGGCCCCAAUUUUUGUUCCAAAUAAGUCCUUAAGUAGUUUAUCCUUGCAGUCAGCUCCGGCUUAAGCAUGCUCUACGUAAGGGACCGAUGAAAAUAAGUGAAUGAUCACAAAAAAAUUUCCUGCUUUGUUCUCAAGUCAUAUGAAAAUUCGGGUU
This is a long non-coding RNA of Lathyrus oleraceus (garden pea), 3265 nucleotides long. RefSeq lists it as uncharacterized. The record is from RefSeq and is a predicted model, not a curated record. The transcript has 10 exons. Lineage: Eukaryota; Viridiplantae; Streptophyta; Magnoliopsida; Fabales; Fabaceae.